AGAGUAAUAGUUUAAUAUUAAAACACCUGAUUUGCAUUCAAAUAAUAUCUUUUGGAUUUACUUUA
Molecule: transfer RNA, 65 nt
Filed under: Culicoides cylindratus
Lineage: Eukaryota; Metazoa; Arthropoda; Insecta; Diptera; Ceratopogonidae
Description: tRNA-Ala
Source: RNAcentral